GACGAACGCUGGCGGCGUGCUUAACACAUGCAAGUCGAACGAAGAAACGCCUUCCUUUUUGGUGGGUGGGGAUGAGUGGCCAACUGGGGAAUAACACGUUAGUAACCUGCUCCCUCCUUCUGGAUAACCGCAUGAAAGUGUUGCUAAUGGGUGAUAUACUGGGUCUGUCGCUUGAUGGGUCUAGGAAAGAUAUUGUUUCGGUUGGGGAUGGACUCGCGGCCUAUCAGCUUGUUGGUGGGGUGAUGGCCUACCAAGGCGGUGACGGGUAGCCGGCCUGAGAGGGUGCACGGACACACGGGGACUGAGACACGGCAGAGACUCAUGGGGGAGGCAGCUGGGGGGAAUAUUGCAAUGUGCGAGAGAGUCUGAUGCAGCGGCGGCGCGUGAGGUAUGGGUGCCUUCGGGUUGUGAACCUCUUUCGCGAGUGAAGCAGGCGUGCAUCGUUUGUGGGUGGGUUGACGGUAGCUGGAUAAGAAGCGCCCGCUAACUUCGUG
This 494-nucleotide ribosomal RNA is filed under the name uncultured bacterium. RNAcentral's name for it is "partial 16S ribosomal RNA". It matches the Rfam family "Bacterial small subunit ribosomal RNA", at positions 28 to 507 of the family's 1533-position model. The record is from RNAcentral.